RNAcentral lists this ribosomal RNA (253 nucleotides) under uncultured bacterium. RNAcentral describes it as "partial 16S ribosomal RNA". It matches the Rfam family "Bacterial small subunit ribosomal RNA", at positions 524 to 776 of the family's 1533-position model. The record is from RNAcentral.
UACGGGGGUGGCAAGCGUUGUUCGGAAUUACUGGGCGUAAAGGGCGCGUAGGCGGCCUUCUAAGUCGAACGUGAAAUCCCCGGGCUCAACCCGGGAACUGCGUCCGAUACUGGAAGGCUUGAAUCCGGGAGAGGGAUGCGGAAUUCCAGGUGUAGCGGUGAAAUGCGUAGAUAUCUGGAGGAACACCGGUGGCGAAGGCGGCAUCCUGGACCGGCAUUGACGCUGAGGCGCGAAAGCCAGGGGAGCAAACGGG